GUGAGUCAUCGAGUCUUUGAACGCACCUUGCGCUCCUGGACUUGUUUCAGGAGCAUGCCUGUUUGAGUGUCAUGAAAUCAUCAACCACGAUGCUUCUUAGUGUCGCUGGCUUGGACUUGGGGAUUUGCUGGCUUGUCAAGAGUCGGCUUCCCUUGAAUGCAUUAGUCGGGUGCCUUGCUCGAGAAGUGUGAUAAUUAUCAUUCACUGAUCGUCGAGGAGCUUUGUCUCGGCUUCUAACCGCAUUGGAAACGAUGCAAUUUUGACACAUCUGACCUCAAAUCAGGUAGGACUACCCGCUGAACUUAA
Molecule: ribosomal RNA, 306 nt
Filed under: uncultured fungus
Lineage: Eukaryota; Fungi
Description: eukaryotic LSU rRNA
Rfam family: 5.8S ribosomal RNA (bases 1-72)
Source: RNAcentral